Molecule: ribosomal RNA, 427 nt
Filed under: uncultured bacterium
Lineage: Bacteria
Description: bacterial SSU rRNA
Rfam family: Bacterial small subunit ribosomal RNA
Source: RNAcentral
UGGGGAAUUUUGGACAAUGGGCGAAAGCCUGAUCCAGCAAUGCCGCGUGAGUGAAGAAGGCCUUCGGGUUGUAAAGCUCUUUUGUCAGGGAAGAAACGGUGAGAGCUAAUAUCUCUUGCUAAUGACGGUACCUGAAGAAUAAGCACCGGCUAACUACGUGCCAGCAGCCGCGGUAAUACGUAGGGUGCAAGCGUUAAUCGGAAUUACUGGGCGUAAAGCGUGCGCAGGCGGUUUUGUAAGUCUGAUGUGAAAUCCCCGGGCUCAACCUGGGACCUGCAUUUGUGACUGUAUAGCUAGAGUACGGUAGAGGGGGAUGGAAUUCCGCGUGGAGCAGUGAAAUGCGUAGAUAUGUGGAGGAACACCGAUGGCGAAGGCAGCCCCCUGGGUCAAGAUUGACGCUCAUGCACGAAAGCGUGGGGAGCAAACA